This 208-nucleotide long non-coding RNA is filed under the name Nicotiana benthamiana. Its description in RNAcentral is "long non-coding RNA (NBEN_LNC001790)". The record is from RNAcentral. Lineage: Eukaryota; Viridiplantae; Streptophyta; Magnoliopsida; Solanales; Solanaceae.
UUUUGGCGUGAAACAAAGAGUACACACUAUUCCUUUUUAGAGAGUUCAAAAAAAUAUAGCAUUGAAUGUCAAAGAUCAGAUUUUUGGAUUGAUUGGAACGGCUAUAAAACGGUUGGAUUUUUGAAUUUUGACCGUGGAUAGUCGGAUAUCUUAUGUGAUAGUCGAAUAUCUGGGAGCCAUAUUCAAAUAUUUUAUGUAAUAUUUGAAU